RNAcentral lists this unclassified non-coding RNA (181 nucleotides) under fungal sp. RNAcentral's name for it is "partial contains small subunit ribosomal RNA, internal transcribed spacer 1, and 5.8S ribosomal RNA". The stretch from base 1 to 47 matches the Rfam family "Eukaryotic small subunit ribosomal RNA", at positions 1785 to 1831 of the family's 1831-position model. The record is from RNAcentral. Lineage: Eukaryota; Fungi.
AAAGUCGUAACAAGGUUUCCGUAGGUGAACCUGCGGAAGGAUCAUUACAAAUCGCGAGCGUGCCAAAAGCCGCUCUAUAUGUUCGGGGCAGCAAUGCUUCGUGACAUUUACGCUUGUAUGUUUGACAGAGUUAGAUGUGACUUAAUAAAGACAACUUUUAACAAUGGAUCUCUUGGCUCUU